UGCCUUUGCUAGGACUGCUGAAUAUGUCUUGAGCUCCAGUACUAACAAGUGUUGCCUGAUCUCUGGACGGAGACCCGACUGGAAUCUCCUGGCCUUUCGGCCCUCAUCCAUCAAUGUCUCCGGGGAGUAUCGGCCCAGCUCGAGGAACUUACAAGCAUACUCUGAUACUGUCAUGUUUCCCUGAACCAGUUGAACAAACUCUGUUUCCUUUAGGUGUC
RNAcentral lists this long non-coding RNA (218 nucleotides) under Carica papaya (papaya). RNAcentral's name for it is "long non-coding RNA (CPAP_LNC003247)". The record is from RNAcentral. Lineage: Eukaryota; Viridiplantae; Streptophyta; Magnoliopsida; Brassicales; Caricaceae.